RNAcentral lists this unclassified non-coding RNA (266 nucleotides) under plant metagenome. RNAcentral describes it as "partial contains small subunit ribosomal RNA, internal transcribed spacer 1, and 5.8S ribosomal RNA". The stretch from base 1 to 54 matches the Rfam family "Eukaryotic small subunit ribosomal RNA", at positions 1778 to 1831 of the family's 1831-position model. The record is from RNAcentral.
GGAAGUAAGAGUCGUAACAAGGUCUCCGUUGGUGAACCAGCGGAGGGAUCAUUACCGAGUUUACGACUCCCAAACCCAAUGUGAACCAUACCAAACUGUUGCCUCGGCGGGGUCACGCCCCGGGUGCGUCGCAGCCCCGGAACCAGGCGCCCGCCGGAGGGACCAACCAAACUCUUUCUGUAGUCCCCUCGCGGACGUUAUUUUUACAGCUCUGAGCAAAAAUUCAAAAUGAAUCAAAACUUUCAGCAACGGAUCUCUUGGUUCUG